RNAcentral lists this transfer RNA (76 nucleotides) under Rhodobacterales bacterium 32-67-9. RNAcentral's name for it is "tRNA-Val". It matches the Rfam family "tRNA". Rfam says of the family: Transfer RNA (tRNA) molecules are approximately 80 nucleotides in length. Their secondary structure includes four short double-helical elements and three loops (D, anti-codon, and T loops). The record is from RNAcentral. Lineage: Bacteria; Pseudomonadati; Pseudomonadota; Alphaproteobacteria; Rhodobacterales.
GGGUCGUUAGCUCAGCUGGUAGAGCGCUUCGUUUACACCGAAGAUGUCGGCGGUUCGAGCCCGUCACGACCCACCA